UACCGUUUGCGUUGCGUUGCAGUUUGUUGAGCUCGAUCGAGAAGUGGGACGAAGAAGGCCGUUAAUAAUUCAACUACUUAAAGAAUGCGGGUUAGAUGUGGACGACUUCGAAGACAUUUGCAGUAGGCUAAACAGAGAAAGAGAGGGAGACCCAAAACUACUUGUCCUGGCAUCACAUUUGAGGAGGAGAUGGAGUCGGUGAAUAUGACCUAGCCCGGGGGAGUUUCCAGAAGACGGCCCAGAACCACUGGCCGCCAGGAGUGGAGGUCCUUUGUUGUUGCUCUACAUGUCAGGAGGCAUCGGGCAGUAGCCCUGGUAGAAGCACCAUCUUGAUACCAUCAUUCAAACUCUCAUCAGCUGUAUCAUUAUAGGUGGACUAAAAGAACAAUAUUCAUGCAGAUAUAAUGAUGCCUUAAGUUGAAAUGGAAGGUGUCCUGAAUCUGCACCCAUUCAUCUGGUUUCGUAACUCCUUUCAUAGUGCUAUUGGAACCUGCUCCCUACCAGUAUAACAUCAAACAGAUUGGAAGAAUAAAGGCCAAUGGGAAGUGCCUUUUAUAUUUCUACUUGCCACAAAGCAGUCCAUGGUUUAGCGCAAUCUAAACUGGACUAUUGUAAUGCUCUUCGUGCUUGAAUUAGGGCGAUCUGGACUGACUGCAGAUAGUACAGAAUGCUGCAUCUAUUGUGCCAUUUGCCAUACGCCAACUUCGCUGGCUGCAAGUCAAGGAAAGGAUAUACAUGAACAUCAGUGUCCGUCUCCUGAUUUUCAAAGUCAAUGACAGAGAUCCAGAUUACAUGUAUUAUAAGGAAUCCCUUGUGCGUCAUUUUCAUUCUAGGCGCACUUGCCUUUUUAUUUUUGUGAUCAUUACGCACCUACAAAUUAGCUACUGGUGAUGCAACUUUCUCCACUACUGCUCCAAGGCCAUGGAAUUAGCUCCUUCCUCUCCUCCAGUUGUCAACAACCUUGGAUCAAUCCAAAUACAAUUUGAGAAGACCUACUAUAUUCCUGAUCUUUGCUCUGUACCUACAACAAUACUGUCACUGCCUGGUAAUUUGAAUUUUUUUAAAUCUCAUGUGCUGACUACAGUAGGAUGGCGUCUCAAUUCAUCCAAAUUAGACAAGGGAUAAUAAAGUAAUGUAUGACAUUCUAACCUCUGCAUUAUUUUGGUGAAAGAGCUCUAAGCAUAUAUGCAAGUAGCAAGCUGAUGAUGUCAUACUGACGUACAUUGUACAUGUACACGUAUCCCCAACUUAUUAUUUUGUAUAUAAAAUUGUGCAUUUAAUUUUGUUUACCAAGAAUGAAACAAAUCGGAUUGUAAACUGUAUUGAUGUGACUUACCUGUAUUGAUUAUUGCUGGAAGUUCUUUUGCUACAUGGGAUUGGAAGACAUACUUAUUACACACAUGAAGUAAAUUAUUAUUUUAUCUGGUAACAUGAGAACAAUAAAAAUGUGGGCAUGAUAUCAUAAACUUACAUGUAUCUACUUGCAUGUGUUGAUGACCAAUAUUUUUGUAAUUAUUUUUUUUAAAAUUUUAUCUGAUUUUGAUAAAAUUUUCACUAUUUUGCAUGGUAAAAAUUACUUUAUUUUAGAUUAUGUUGAGCCCGUAUCAUAUACAAGUACAACUUUAAAGAUAAAUUACCAGUUGUAGUAACAAUCUUAAAAUGAGUUCGAACAGAAUCCAAUAGAAUUACCAGCAAAAUAUAAAAGACAUGUGCCAUAAUUAAUUAUAGCUCGGGAAGAAAAUGUGUAAUUGCUGAGAAAUGAGCAAAAUAAGCAUGUAAUUCUAUCCAAUGUCAGGUAUUUUUCAAAUCAAUCAUAAUACACUGUCCUGUCCCACAUGUUCUUUUCUGUGUUAGUGAUCAUCAAAAUAAUUAAUUUUAGGUUCAAAAUUAGUGAUUUUACAAAAAUACAAGCUUACAUUAAUGUACCAGAUCUAGAGAUUAUGUACAAUAUUUUGACAAUUUCUCAUGAAAUAAUUGUUUGCUGCAACUGCUGUCUUUUUAAUACGUUUAAGUGAUAGUGUAAUACAACCACAAACUUUUCUUAAAGGGGAUUCCAGCCUUGGCCAAAAAAUGUUGUGUUGGGAAGGAGAAAAAUAAAUUAAACAGAAUGGUGAAAGUUUGAAAGAAAUCGGAUAAGCAAUAAGAAAGUUAUAGCUGCUUUAAAAUUAAGAUCACUAAUAGUAUGUAGAUUUCAAAUUGGCAACUGGGUAAGUAAAUUAUGACAAGGGGCAAGGACAACUUUCCCAUAGGCCAUGUACUUUAUUAUCAGGGAUUUGUGGUUUUCUCCUAAGUACCCAUUCCCCUGGGGCAGUAAUCUAAAUAUAACCCAGGUAGUAUAUUGUUUAAUGUCCUCAUGAAUGAAAAAUAUAAUUUGAAAUAAAUUUUUUUGGAAAAAUGAUAUUUUAGCCAUAAUAUGUAUUGGAGUACAUGGAAGAGUAGUCCUUGCCUUACAUCACUAUGACAUCCCAUAUGCGGCCAAUUUGAAGUCUCCAUGGGUAUAGUGAUUACCAAUGUUUACAACUUUUAAAAAUUCCGAACUUUCUUGUUGUUUGUCCAAUAUUGUUCAAACUUUCACCUAUCAACUUUUCUGAUUUUUCUUUUCCUUAUAAACAUAAGUUUUUAUUUGGGUUGGAUUCCCCUUUAAGAAUUAAUGUACAUGUAUGAUUCUUUCACCCAAAUUUACAUGCAUUGAUACUGUUGACUACUUGCCAAAAGUUCCUGCCAAAAGCCUUUUUUAACGAUGUACAUGCUUUUAUAGACGACCUGCCAAAACAUUGUAUUGUAUUAUAUUCAAGGUCCAACCAAAAAGAGAUGAAUAAAAUGUUUGAAGGAAAUUGAAAUUAACUUUUAAAAUGAUAGAGCUCUGUCAAUGCAGUAUUAUUACAGGGUUCCCACAGUCAUGGAAAAUCCUGGAAAAAAAUUGGUAAUGGAAAGUCAGGGAUAUGUGAAAAGUCAUGGAAUUGCAUUUACCUCUUGGCUAUGACAGCUUUCUAGUUUUUUAUGUCUCACAACUCUCAUACUCUGUGAUUGUACUCUACUUUUAUAAUUGGUGUUCAUGAUCAUAACAUGUCUGAUUUUGUAAACUGUGCCAGAAAGGAAUUAAGUCAUGGAAAGCAGCAAUUUAGUCAUGGAGAGGUCAUGGAAUUCUGUUUUCAAAUUUCUGUGGGAACCAUGAAUAGAUUUGUGCACUUGACACAGUGUGCACUACAGAUGAACUUUGUAAUGCCAUGAUAUAAACCAGUACAAUAUCUUAAAGGAAAAUAAAACCCAAAAUAUAAUACCACAUGAUACCAUUGAUAAAUACAGGACAAUGAAAAUGAAUCCACUCAUAUACCCCCAAUCCGAUGUCCCAGUAUGGAGUACCACCUUUUCAAAGUUGGCAUCUUCUGGUACAAAGUCUAUGGAUGGGGAUUAUUCCGUCAGCGAUGAACUACAUCUCUAAACGUUUGGGCAUUAUAUAUUCUAUUUCAUCGAUAAUAAAUCAAAUGUACAGAUAAAACUCAUAAAAUAUUAAUUAAAAUUUGUUUAAUAUUAUAUGAUAGGUUCAAAUUACGACUUGAUGAGUUUUAAUGAUAAAAAUUACACCCUAAUCUACGAUUUACAAAUUGGCAGCGGAAAUUGGGGUGUAAAUCUUAUCAUUAAAACUCAUCAAAUUGUAUUUUGAACCUACCAUAUAUUGAACAAAUUUUAACUAAUAUUUUUAUGAGUUUUAUCUGUACAUUUGAUUUGUUAUUGAUAAAAUAGAAUAUAUAAUGCCUGAACGUUUAGAGAUGUAGUUCGUCGCUGAUGUAAUAAUUUCCUAACUAACCCCGCGAAAAUGGCGACCUCCAUCCAGAAACUUCGAACCAUACUGUAAGAGGCCAACUUUGAAAAGGUGGUACUCCGUAAUUGGAUUAGGGUAUGAGUGGAUUCAUGUUGAUUGUCCUGUAUUUAUCAAUAAUAUCAUGUGGUAUUAUGUUUUGGGUGUUAUUUUCCUUUAAUUCAGAUAUUACAUGCCAGGGUAUUGUCCUAGUUUUCAUUUUCUCCAAAUACAUAUUAUCAUCUCUCGUCUAUUUCUACUUGCCCUUCAGCCUUGAAGUAAACUUGGGAUAAUUAUGCAUUUUGUUAUACGCAAUUUUGAGUACAGUGCACUUUGCCGCAGCUACUUAUAUGAUAUUACCUAUUGUAGACACAUCCUUAUGUUUUGUUCAUUUUCUUAAAAACGAUUAAGAGUUUAAUCAUUUUUGUCUUUAAGCAUAAAACAAAGAGUAAAUCAGUCCAUUCUGUAUGUGUGACCUGCAAAAAAACUACAAUGGUCGUUAAUUUGGUUUGCUGAAAAGCCAGAUAACCUUUGAGGUAACUUUUUAAAGUAUUUAGAAGAAAUGUAUCUUUUUUUAAAGUAUUUAUAUGCACUGUAACUAAUUUCUUUGAUAGUUACUAUUAUGUUACACUGUUUGUACAGUAAAGCAGCUGUUACACAAUUUUUGUCAAUAGCAAAUCUAAACCAGUAUUGUAAAUUGAUGACUCUAUGAGCUAAAUAUCAGUACUUUCUAUAUCACUUGUAAAAUCAUUUGUUGUCUGUUCAUUGAAGGUGUUGUAUUUUCUUAAUCUUAUAAAAGUACAUAGGGUCAUGAACACAUUCUACUGCUACCAAAAUCAUACCCAUGAUCUGUGAUGUAUCUAACCAGUUACCACACACAUUGCAACACACCAGUUGCAACAUACAUUAUCAUGCAUCAGUUAUCACACAUCUAGUUACCACACACAUUUUGGGUAAUGACUCUGAUGCAUGGUAUUAUGUGUAUUAUGUACAAUAUGUGUGGUAACUGGUUAGUGUUUACCACACACCAUUUACCACACGAAUUACCUCAUAUUUUACCACACACCAGUUACCACAUGCAUUACCACACACCAGUUACGUAACUGGUGUGUGGUAGUGUAUGUGGUAACGUGUGUGGUAAAUCGUGUGUAGUAAUGCAUGUGGUAACCGGUGUGUGGUAAAAUGUGACGUAAUUUGUGUGGUAAGGCAUGUGGUAAAAUAUGAGGUAAUUUGUGUG
Lytechinus pictus (painted urchin) is the source of this 5036-nucleotide long non-coding RNA. RefSeq lists it as uncharacterized. Lineage: Eukaryota; Metazoa; Echinodermata; Echinoidea; Temnopleuroida; Toxopneustidae. The transcript has 4 exons. The record is from RefSeq and is a predicted model, not a curated record.